AGAGUUUGAUCCUGGCUCAGGACGAACGCUGGCGGCGUGCCUAAUACAUGCAAGUAGAACGCUGAAAUCUGGUGCUUGCACCGGAUGGAUGAGUUGCGAACGGGUGAGUAACGCGUAGGUAACCUACCUCAUAGCGGGGGAUAACUAUUGGAAACGAUAGCUAAUACCGCAUAACAGUCUUUAACUCAUGUUAGAGUCUUGAAAGGGGCAAUUACUUCACUAUGAGAUGGACCUGCGUUGUAUUAGCUAGUUGGUGAGGUAACGGCUCACCAAGGCGACGAUACAUAGCCGACCUGAGAGGGUGAUCGGCCACACUGGGACUGAGACACGGCCCAGACUCCUACGGGAGGCAGCAGUAGGGAAUCUUCGGCAAUGGGGGCAACCCUGACCGAGCAACGCCGCGUGAGUGAAGAAGGUUUUCGGAUCGUAAAGCUCUGUUGUAAGAGAAGAACGUGUGUGAGAGUGGAAAGUUCACACAGUGACGGUAUCUUACCAGAAAGGGACGGCUAACUACGUGCCAGCAGCCGCGGUAAUACGUAGGUCCCGAGCGUUGUCCGGAUUUAUUGGGCGUAAAGCGAGCGCAGGCGGUUUGAUAAGUCUGAAGUUAAAGGCUGUGGCUCAACCAUAGUACGCUUUGGAAACUGUCAAACUUGAGUGCAGAAGGGGAGAGUGGAAUUCCAUGUGUAGCGGUGAAAUGCGUAGAUAUAUGGAGGAACACCGGUGGCGAAAGCGGCUCUCUGGUCUGUAACUGACGCUGAGGCUCGAAAGCGUGGGUAGCGAACAGGAUUAGAUACCCUGGUAGUCCACGCCGUAAACGAUGAGUGCUAGUGUGUUAGGCCCUUUCCGGGGCUUAGUGCCGCAGCUAACGCAUUAAGCACUCCGCCUGGGGAG
Molecule: ribosomal RNA, 891 nt
Filed under: uncultured bacterium
Lineage: Bacteria
Description: bacterial SSU rRNA
Rfam family: Bacterial small subunit ribosomal RNA
Source: RNAcentral